This 515-nucleotide ribosomal RNA is filed under the name uncultured bacterium. RNAcentral describes it as "bacterial SSU rRNA". It matches the Rfam family "Bacterial small subunit ribosomal RNA", at positions 36 to 518 of the family's 1533-position model. The record is from RNAcentral.
CUGGCGGCGUGCCUAAUACAUGCAAGUCGAGCGCGGGAAGCAGACUGAAAUCUUCGGAUGGACGUCUGUGGAACGAGCGGCGGAUGGGUGAGUAUCACGUGGGCAACCUGCCUGUAAGCUCGGGAUAACUCGCGGAAACGCGGGCUAAUACCGAAUGACCCUUGCAUCCGCAUGGAUGCAAGAUAAAAGGCGGCUUUUGCCGUCACUUACAGAUGGGCCCGCGGCGCAUUAGCUAGUUGGUGGGGUAAUGGCUCACCAAAGCGACGAUGCGUAGCCGACCUGAGAGGGUGAUCGGCCACACUGGGACUGAGACACGGCCCAGACUCCUACGGGAGGCAGCAGUAGGGAAUCUUCCGCAAUGGACGAAGGUCUGACGGAGCAACGCCGCGUGAAGUGACGAAGGUCUUCGGAUCGUAAAACUCUGUUGUCAGGGAAGAACGAGCAUCGGCCGAAUAAGCCGGCGCUUUGACGGUACCUGACCAGAAAGCCCCGGCUAACUACGUGCCAGCCGCAGC